Long non-coding RNA from Cyprinus carpio (common carp), 4123 nucleotides. RefSeq lists it as uncharacterized. The transcript has 3 exons. The record is from RefSeq and is a predicted model, not a curated record. NCBI's taxonomy places the organism in Eukaryota, Metazoa, Chordata, Actinopteri, Cypriniformes, Cyprinidae.
CUCCCGCUGGAUGUCGCUAGAGUCCUCUUUGCCGGCGGCCCAAAGCCUGUUUAUCUGCUCAACUGAGAGGACCUACACGUCCGUCGUCCUGAGUCUCGAUCUCCAGUUGGAGGCUUCAUGGGUCCUCUCGGUCAGUUAUCUGACCUGGUUGCCCACUGAUUAGCAGGGGCUCAUCAGCCAGUAGGGCCCAUACGCCAACACUGUGACCUAUUCCAGUCGAGGCAACUCGGGCCCUCCUGGUCGGGCUAUUCAAUCAUGCUGCUCCACCUGCAUCGGCCGGUAGGGCUCAUCCGUUCCAAUGCAGUGAGGUGCUCCGGUUGAGCAACGGCUCGAGCCCUCCCGUCCGGGCGCCCCAAAUCACGUAGUCCGAUACCAGCAGCCAGUAGGGCCUACCUUUCCAAAUGUAUAAGUCACUCCCGUCGGAAUACGUAGGCUCUUCCGGCCUGCCAACCAGCUGACUUUCCAAAUAUCAGCCCCCGCCAGAUCUCAAUGCUAUUGUGGGGGGGUCCCUAGUCUGGCGGCUGUCCUUUUGCUAUUGCCUUUUUGGGGGGUACUCUAGGUUCGGGCCAUUCCCGAGCUCGGAGCCCUUCCCCGGACAGCACGCCAAAUAUGAAUUAUAUACUUCAGCUAAUUAUAUGUAAGUGUGAACUCGUGAAACUACAAACCUGGUUAACAGACUCUGUGCCUGGGUCAGUAAGAAUUAUUUUUGGUUCCCCAAACCUGUGAAAUAAAUUAAUGCAGUACACAACUGCUUCAUAUUUAGUCAGAAUAGCUAUUUUGUGUAAUAGUCAAUAAAUGUACUUUUUUACAUUGUCGGUCCUGGUGACUUUCCCCACUAAAUUCAUCCCCAGCUGUUCCAGAGGCUUGUCCACCUUAAAAUUAAAAUAGCAACAUUAAUACAUUUCAAUUUUGUAAACUCAUGACUUCCCUAUCUUAAAACCCAUGCACAUCUGUGGACAAGUUUACAUACACAUAUCGGGAUGUACUUGGGCUAUUGCUUGAUGGACAGUCUGCUAAACUGGCACUGGGCACACUGCAAAACCCCAAUGUUCAGAAAUAAGCACAUGAGAAAUGCAUUCCAUAACAUCAGUUUAUAUGUCUCACAGCAAGGUUGAAAAGGAAAAGUUAUCACUUAAAGUACUUUGCUUACCAUCAACUUGGAAACUGGAGGAACAUUUUUUUUAUGAAAAAUGGAUAAACACCUUGAGUUUUGUAAUUUAGAAUUUUCUCAUAUAGGUUUGGAUCCAUUGCUUUCAUAUGCCAACAAGUCAUUCAAGUUACAACAUUUUGUGGUCAUCUCACUAAUUUAUAACUGAGCUAUUUUGAAUGAUUGAUUGACUGAUUUAUCUGGUGCACUCUGAGAUUGUAUGCCAAUUACAAUUACAACAUUAUGUUCCACACUUGCAUCUUGUAUGCAAGGCUUUCUUGUGAAAAAAAUAAAAAUAAAUAACGUUUGAAUAAGUGUUCAGAUUAAAUAUAUUCCACUGUAUCAGUAAGAAGGUAAACAGAUUAAUCAAACAGAAUAUUAGUUAAAAUGUACUGUUGCUCUAUAUGGAAACAGUAAUAGACUAUGCCCUGAGUUUGGACGUCACCACGGACAGAUUACACUAAUUUGCAAUGGAAAAAUUAAACUGCAAAAACUCGGACAUAAGACAAAACAAAGGAACAAUUGGAAGAUGAAUAAAAAAAUCAUAGAACAUUAAUUGGAGUGUGAUAAUCAUUUUACUAUGCUGCAGUGUAGCAAGACAUUUGUCCCUUUUUGCCUUCCUUACAUCCAGUUGUGUUUGGUGUAUUUGCAUGCUGCAUUGUUGCCAAAUCCUCAUAUUUCCCCCCCCCCCCAGGAAUUCCAGAGGGGAACAGAAUCAACUGCUACAACAGUCGUCAGCCAUCCAGGUCAGCUUCUUCACAAAGAAUUUUUCUCAGAAUACAACUUUGGUAAGUAAAAUAUUUGUAUUUAUUGGCUUAACAUGUAAAAUUGCAUUUUUUGUCUAAGAAGAGCAAGUAUGGUUUAAAGAGUCAUAUUUUCUAGUUGUAUGAAUGCAAAUAUUCAUUUCGCGGCACUCUAAAGCCUCAAAAUACAGGCGGUUCCACAGUAUUUUCCAUAUAAAUAUUAAAACAAAUGUUCUCCCAUGCUGUACUGAGCUGAACUUACGUGGAGAACGAUAAAAAACACAGUGUGGUAUGUAUUAUUUGAGGCUUGAGCCCAUAGCUGCGUUAGAGACCGUUCAAACAGAGCGCGAGACGGAGCUCAACGGAUCACUGAAUGAAUUUAGAACGGCGGGUAUUUUUUUUAAAAAAGGAACUGCUUUAAUCCUGACAGCGUAAAGACAUCCGUCAGAAUAUACACAGAUGAAAAAUUCGGGAAAAAACAAGAUGACUACUCGAACUGUCUCUUUUCUGCAUGUUAUAAGGGAAACGAAGAAGCACCAUAGAUGAGCACCUCCCUCAGAGUUCUUUUGCAGCACGUAACUUAAAUUACAUUUGAUAUUGCUGACAUAAGCUUGGUUCAGAUGAAGUUCUGAAGGUAACGUUUUAAACUCUUCUUUAAUUUUUUUCUGAAGUCAUUCAAGUGCCUCACCAGACCCAGUGUAAUGCUGUGUGAAUAUACGGUCAUAAGUAAAUUGCAUACGUUCAAAACUAUAGGUUUUUGAAUAACAGUAAUAAUAGCAUAGCUAUAUCUUGUAUAAAUAGCCAUACAAUAAGCAUAGACACAAAUGUGUUAAAGUUCCUUUUAUUCUGUUACAAUUCUGUGUUGUGUAAUUUAGAAGCAUCGUCUGGAUGGUAAAGUUGGGCUUUGGUAAUUAAAAAACAAACUCUGUAAAGAUUUUUUUAAUAUAUUUAUGUUUAUUAUUUUACAGUGUUUUAACAUGUUUCUGUAUUUUUCAUGUUUAUGAUAUUUUGGAAUGGCUGAAGAUCAGCGCAGAAUUCAAUAAUCUUGUGGAUGGACCACAGCAAGUCCUUUUGCAGUUUUAUCCAUCAAAAUGCUAUGCAGACAUAAUGGAAAUGACAUUCACAUUGUAGAGCUUGGACAAAGUUCACACAGGCUCUGCGCAGGAAUUCAUCAAGGACAUGACUGUUGGGAUUAUGGUUGUGGAUGUCCAAACUAAGCACCAUCAUUCUGCAGUGAUGUGGUCCAGCCAUCCGGUGAAAUUAAGGAUGUUGUGAAAGAAAUUGAAGAGGGCAUUCUGAUUCUGCACUUUGGAUGAGUUAAAUGCAGAGCACGAAUUCUGAGUAUGGGUCACUAUACUUGGCUGUAUGUCACGUCACUUUCACUUUCACUUUUCAAUGUUCAUGAUGUGUUCAUCGGCUCCACAGCAAGCUCUUUCAUAAAAAGUAGGGUUUUAUUUUUUAAGGAACUUUAGGUUCUUUUGAGCCUUUCACUACUUUUUAGAAUGCAGAUUAAAGUUGUAUCAUGUUAUGACUUGGAAUAUGCAUGUUCUCAUUUAAACAAAUGUUUCACGUCUUAUUUUCCUAUACAGUAAUGUACACAUUUCCUUCAAAUUGACAAGUGCUUUUGCUUUCCUUCUUCUGUUUCUUGUUUUAUGACCACUAAAUAGCAUUAUGAUGGGGGAGAGUUUGGAAACUUUCAAGAUCCUUCUGAUGUUAACACUUAUUUAUGGUUAUGUUGUGGUAUGAAAUGUAAAAUCUGAUGGUUUAGAUCUUUGUACUUCCAUGUGCAUUCCAUUCAUAUUUUAUUAUACAGGAGUACAGUACACUCAUUUUUUUGUAACUAAAUUUGAUUGCUUUUGCCUUAUAUAUACAUAUAAUAUCUUGGCUUCUCAUUUUGACCAAUAACUUGCAUUAUGGUGGGGGGAGUGCAUGUGAACUUGUGCAGGGUUUAACCUUCUGAUUUUCAUAUUAAGGUAUGAAAUUAAAAAUAAUCCCUGUGGUUUUGAUCUGAGGAAUUGAAAAGCAACUAUUUAUGUUUCUCAAUCCCAUGCCAAUGUUAUUUAUUAUACAUCACACUCAGGUGUCGAUUCAGAUCUUUAGACGUGUGUGUGUGUGUGUGUGUGUGUGUGUGUGUGUGUGUGUGUGUGUGUGUGUGUAUUUGUAUUUUGCAUUUUUUUUUUUCAAUUGUCAGUUGAUGUGUUGACAGCAAAUUGCUUGUUCAAUUUAAAUGUGA